AACAUUGAGCCUUGAUGUGUAGGAUAGGUGGGAGGCUUUGAAGUGUGGACGCCAGUCUGCAUGGAGCCAACCUUGAAAUACCACCCUUUAAUGUUUGAUGUUCUAACGUAGACCCGUAAUCCGGGUUGCGGACAGUGUCUGGUGGGUAGUUUGACUGGGGCGGUCUCCUCCCAAAGAGUAACGGAGGAGCACGAAGGUUAGCUAAUCCUGGUCGGACAUCAGGAGGUUAGUGCAAUGGCAUAAGCUAGCUUGACUGCGAGCGUGACGGCGCGAGCAGGUGCGAAAGCAGGUCAUAGUGAUCCGGUGGUUCUGAAUGGAAGGGCCAUCGCUCAACGGAUAAAAGGUACUCCGGGGAUAACAGGCUGAUACCGCCCAAGAGUUCAUAUCGACGGCGGUGUUUGGCACCUCGAUGUCGGCUCAUCACAUCCUGGGGCUGAAGUAGGUCCCAAGGGUAUGGCUGUUCGCCAUUUAAAGUGGUACGCGAGCUGGGUUUAGAACGUCGUGAGACAGUUCGGUCCCUAUCUGCCGUGGGCGCUGGAGAAUUGAGGGGGGCUGCUCCUAGUACGAGAGGACCGGAGUGGACGCAUCACUGGUGUUCGGGUUGUCAUGCCAAUGGCAUUGCCCGGUAGCUACAUGCGGAAGAGAUAAGUGCUGAAAGCAUCUAAGCACGAAACUUGCCCCGAGAUGAGUUCUCCCUGAGACUUUAAGUCUCCUGAAGGAACGUUGAAGACGACGACGUUGAUAGGCUGGGUGUGUAAGUGCAGCGAUGCAUUGAGCUAACCAGUACUAAUGAACCGUGAGGCUUAACCUUACAACGCCAAAGGUGUUUUG
Molecule: ribosomal RNA, 831 nt
Filed under: Salmonella enterica subsp. diarizonae
Lineage: Bacteria; Pseudomonadati; Pseudomonadota; Gammaproteobacteria; Enterobacterales; Enterobacteriaceae
Description: partial 23S ribosomal RNA
Rfam family: Bacterial large subunit ribosomal RNA
Source: RNAcentral